GCGGGGUAGCUCAGGUGGUUAGAGCGCACGACUCAUAAUCGUGAGGUCGCGGGUUCGAGUCCCGCUCCCG
RNAcentral lists this transfer RNA (70 nucleotides) under uncultured Aquiluna sp. It matches the Rfam family "tRNA". From Rfam's summary of the family: Transfer RNA (tRNA) molecules are approximately 80 nucleotides in length. Their secondary structure includes four short double-helical elements and three loops (D, anti-codon, and T loops). Further hydrogen bonds mediate the characteristic L-shaped molecular structure. tRNAs have two regions of fundamental functional importance: the anti-codon, which is responsible for specific mRNA codon recognition, and the 3' end, to which the tRNAs corresponding amino acid is attached (by aminoacyl-tRNA synthetases). tRNAs cope with the degeneracy of the genetic code in two manners: having more than one tRNA (with a specific anti-codon) for a particular amino acid; and 'wobble' base-pairing, i.e. permitting non-standard base-pairing at the 3rd anti-codon position. The record is from RNAcentral. Lineage: Bacteria; Bacillati; Actinomycetota; Actinomycetes; Micrococcales; Microbacteriaceae.